RNAcentral lists this ribosomal RNA (460 nucleotides) under uncultured bacterium. Its description in RNAcentral is "partial 16S ribosomal RNA". It matches the Rfam family "Bacterial small subunit ribosomal RNA", at positions 338 to 795 of the family's 1533-position model. The record is from RNAcentral.
CCUACGGGAGGCAGCAGUGAGGAAUAUUGGUCAAUGGACGAGAGUCUGAACCAGCCAAGUAGCGUGAAGGAUGACUGCCCUAUGGGUUGUAAACUUCUUUUAUAUGGGAAUAAAACGUUCCACGUGUGGGAUUUUGUAUGUACCAUAUGAAUAAGGAUCGGCUAACUCCGUGCCAGCAGCCGCGGUAAUACGGAGGAUCCGAGCGUUAUCCGGAUUUAUUGGGUUGAAAGGGAGCGUAGGUGGAUUGUUAAGUCAGUUGUGAAAGUUUGCGGCUCAACCGUAAAAUUGCAGUUGAAACUGGCAGUCUUGAGUACAGUAGAGGUGGGCGGAAUUCGUGGUGUAGCGGUGAAAUGCUUAGAUAUCACGAAGAACUCCGAUUGCGAAGGCAGUUCACUGGACUGCAACUGACACUGAGGCUCGAAAGUGUGGGUAUCAAACAGGAUUAGAUACCCUAGUAGUC